UCCCUGGUGGCUGAGACAGUAAAGAAUCCACCUGCAAUAUGGGAGAUCUGGGUUUGAUCCCUAGCUUGGGAA
Molecule: transfer RNA, 72 nt
Organism: Ovis aries (sheep)
Lineage: Eukaryota; Metazoa; Chordata; Mammalia; Artiodactyla; Bovidae
Rfam family: tRNA
About the family: Transfer RNA (tRNA) molecules are approximately 80 nucleotides in length.
Source: Rfam